Molecule: long non-coding RNA, 901 nt
Filed under: Helianthus annuus (common sunflower)
Lineage: Eukaryota; Viridiplantae; Streptophyta; Magnoliopsida; Asterales; Asteraceae
Source: RNAcentral
ACCACCGCAGCCGUCAGACAUGGCUACUGCUUGUUCCUGCAACUUCAAUAAAUCUGGCCUCCCGAUUUGGUUAAAUCAUCGGGUGUUGAAGAACGAUCGUUGACUGCUCAUCGGAUUUCGGAAGACCCAACUCGUUUCAGGGCAAUGGUCAUAAGCCAUCUCCGUGUGGAGAACCUGAAGGCUGAUGAUCGUAACCAUAAAGAUGAUGGUUAGGGUCAGGUGGCACUACAAGAAAACAUAGCAUUAGGGGCGGCAUCUUUAGGGUUAAUUGCUGCAUUUUUUGAUAAAUAGGUUUAGAGAGUAGUUGAAGUUAGAGGUACACAAAUCGGGUUAGGGUUUGACCCCGAAUCGGCUUCAAAAUGCUUUGAAGUGAAGCUUAAAAAAGUCAUGGGUUAAUACAGGUUUAGGAUGCUAAAACGGGCACCAACUUAUUCUUUGAAGGACAUGAUGCACCUGUUAGUUCUAUAUGCCCGCAUAGCAAAGAUAACAUUCAGUAUAUAUCUUUUCAACGGCUACCAAUAGAAAGAUCAAGGCGUGGUUACAUGUUGAUCAAGUUUCAAAAAUUGAUAAUGAAACCCCUGGUUACAUCUGGACGAAAUGGCAUACAAUACUGAUGGGUCAUGUAACGCUUAGCAUUUCUCUAUAAUCCAUAUUUAGACGAAAUGGCAUACAAUACUGAAGCUUAAAAACGUCAUGGGUUAAUACAGGUUUAGAAUGCUAAAACAGGCACUAACUUAUUCAUCUUUGAAGGACAUGACGCACCUAUUAGUUCUAUAUGCCGCAUAGCAAAGAUAACAUUCAGUAUAUAUCUUUUCAACGGCUAUCAAUAGAAAGAUCAAGGCAUGGUUACAUGUUGAUCGAGUUUCAAAAAUUGAUUAUGAAACCGAUGGUUAUGUCUGGA